GUACAGAGUUUCUGUAUACUCUUUAUAUGCUUUAAUCUAGUUAUGAAAAUGAAGAAAUUAAUAUUAGUAUAAUAGUAUUAAUGAAAUGAUAGAUUUUAUUUGGAUUUUCCCAGUUGUUUCCCUAAUGUUCAUUUUCUGUGCCAGGAUCUAAUCCCGGAUCACACAUUGCAUAUAUUAAUAGUUGUUAUGUCUGCUAAGUCUUUUCCAGUGUGUACCAGUUGCUCAGUCUUUCCUUGUCUUUUAUGACCUUGAGAUACUGGUAAUUUACUCUACAGAUUGUCCAUCAGUUUUGGAUUGUCUGAUGUUGUCUCAUGAUGAGUUUGAGGAUAUACAUCUUGAGGGAGAAUACCAUACUGGGUGUGUGCCCUUUUCAGUACAUCAGCCUAGUAGUACAUGACAUUGAUAUACCUUUUCACUGGUGCUGCUCACCAUGACCACUUAGUUAAAGUCAUGUCUGCCAGGUUUCUCCAUGAUGAAGUUACCAUAUUUCCUCCUGUAACUAAUAAACUUGGGGUGGGAGGAGAGAUUUUGAGAUUAUACAGAUAUCUUGUUUCUCCUGAAAAUUUUGCCCACUAAUUCUAACAUUUAUCAGUGGAUCUUACCUUGCCUGCAAGUUAUUACUGUGGUGUUCUUAAUGGUGAUUUUCUAUUUCUUUCAUCCCAUAUACAUUCAUGAAUUAGAAUUCUUCUGUAAGGAGUAGCUGUUCCUUUUCCAUUUAUUUAAUUUUUCAGUCAUUUAUUUAUAUGAAUAUGGAUUCACUAAUAUUUGCAUAUAUAUGAUAAUAUGUAUAUAUGUAUAUAAAUAUACAUAGGUAUGUAUAUAUGUGUGUAUAUAUAUUUACCUUAGAAAUAGUCAUUUAAAUCACCCCAUUUCAACUACCCAUAUAUAACAAUUAUUUUCUUUUGCAAUUUACAUUCAUAUUCAUACAUUAGUCAAAUGUAUAUUUUAAAUGUUAUAUGAUCACUUAGCAUUAUAUCAUAGACAUUACAAAGGUAUUUAGAACCUCUUCUAAAAGGCUUCAGGAUAUGGUAUCAUAAGAGAGGACUUCCCAAUGAUCAUAUUAUAAAAACAUUCUCUCACUUAUUUUCUAAUUCUAUUAUGAUUUCAUUUUUAUAUUUAAAUAUUUGUUCACUCUGAGAUUUAUCUGGCGUAUGUUGUGAAGUAGGACUUCACUUUUAAUUUUUCUCAGAUGACUAAUGAUCUGUCUGUCCUAGCAUCAUGAAUUGAAUAAUCCAUUCCUUAUCCCCACUGAUUUGAAAUGCCACAUUUAUCAUUUUUUAUUUUCCAGAAUGUUUUCCAUUGUAUUUCUGGGCUAUGCAGAUGAUAUGUCUGUAACUUAUGUACCAGUAUUAUACUGUGUUAGUUAUUAGGUAGCUUUGUACUAUUUUUAGCAUCUGUUAGCCGUCUCCUUUUUCUCUCUUUUUUCCUUGGAAAUUUCCUGGGUUCAUUGAUAUUUAUUUUGGUCUUUAGACUAUAAUACAGUAUUACUGUUAUUUAUUUUGUUGCUCAAGUUGUUCUGGCUUAAUUUUGGAAGAGUAAUUCUCCCCAGUUGGCUCCUGUGCCCUUCAAUAUACCUCCAUCCUUGUCUUGUGACUACUUCCUUAGUUUCCGUCACCUCAAGAUACUUCAGGCUCAUCUUGUAUUUUCUCUGCCCCAGCCCUGAAAUUAACUGUUUCUCCAAGGAACCCUGGAUUAGAGAAGGAAAUUUAGGAACUAAGAUCUAUGCACUAGAUGUGCUCAUUGCUACAGGAGUGUCACUACUUCCUGGCCUACCAGAGAAAAUAUCUAGAAAAUAUAUGUAUGUAUGCUAGCUCAUGCAUACACACACAACUAUAUUUAUUCCUAGAUCUUUUUGUUUGUCCAUUUUAAACUGAAUUCAUACUGAUACCUCAGACCCCAAUCCAAUACCUCAGGGUUCAUUCUAGCCUUUUCUUUUCCUUAUAUCUAACUUUUUUCUCUGGCUAUGAGAAAUCUGGCUGACAUAAUCAACAACAUAGUUACUUGUUUGUUAUACAGUCAUGCACUGCAUAAAGAUGGUUCAAUCAAUGACAGACCACAUGGUAGUCCCAUAAGAUUAUAAUACCAUACUUUUGCUGUAUCUUUUCUAUGUUUCAAUAUAUAAUCCUUACCACUAUUUUACAAUUGCCUACAAUAUUCAGUAUAGUAAUAUGCAGUAAAAGUUUGUAGCUAGGGCAACAGGGUAUACCAUAUAGCCUAGGUGUGUAGUAGGCUAUACUAUCUAGCUUUGUGUAAGUACAAUCUAUGAUAGUCACACAAUGAUGAAAUUGCCUAAGGACACACUUCUCAGAAUAUAUCCCUGUCAUUAAUUGCAUUACUGUACAUGUAAUUUCAGAAUUGCUACUCCUUGCUUCUGCGAAAAACAAAUGUAUCAACUAAAAUACAGUGUUUGUGUUUAUGUACAGUUUUUUAAAAAUGUAACCUUAACAGUUUCCAGUCCAAACUUGUUUUCUAAAGUUGCUUAAGUCAACCCUUUUCUUUCCCACCCUCUUCAAUGAGGUUAUGUAGUUUGUAAUAGUUAGAUUAAUUUGUCACAAUCUGCAUUCCAACUUGGAUUCUUUCAGUAACCUGGUUGAUGUUUUAAAACUUAUAUAAAGUACAAUUUUCUCUUUGUGGGUGGUGUUAAGGGUUUUGACAAGUGCACAGGUACAUAUCCACCAUCACAGUUCCAUACAAAACAGUUCCAUCAUCCCCCAGUUCCCUUGUGCAGCCCUUUUGUAGUCACACUCUCUCCAUUCCCUUAUCUGUGGCAACCACUCAUCUGUUUUCUGUCCCUAUUGUUAUGGCAUUUCCAUAAUGUCAUAUAAAUGCAUAUGUAGCUUUUUGGAUCUGGCUUCUUUCACUUAGAAAAAUGCAUUUCAAAUUCAGCUAUGCUGGGAUUACAUGCAGGGGCCACCACACCCAGC
RNAcentral lists this long non-coding RNA (2924 nucleotides) under Homo sapiens (human). RNAcentral describes it as "HSALNT0298647". Lineage: Eukaryota; Metazoa; Chordata; Mammalia; Primates; Hominidae. The record is from RNAcentral.